Molecule: transfer RNA, 70 nt
Filed under: Aulaconotus atronotatus
Lineage: Eukaryota; Metazoa; Arthropoda; Insecta; Coleoptera; Cerambycidae
Description: tRNA-Val
Source: RNAcentral
CAAGUUAGAGCUUGCCAUAAAGCGUUUUAUUUACACUAAAAAGUUAAUUGUGAAAAUCAAUUUUACUUGA